GGAUUAGAUACCCUGGUAGUCCACACCGUAAACGCUGUCUACUAGCUGUUUGUGUAUUUUAUACGUGAGUAGCGUAGCUAACGCGCUAAGUAGACCGCCUGGGGAGUACGGCCGCAAGGUUAAAACUCAAAUGAAUUGACGGGGGCCCGCACAAGCGGUGGAGCAUGUGGUUUAAUUCGAUGCAACGCGAAGAACCUUACCUACACUUGACAUCCAGAGAACUUACCAGAGAUGGUUUGGUGCCUUCGGGAACUCUGAGACAGGUGCUGCAUGGCUGUCGUCAGCUCGUGCCG
Molecule: ribosomal RNA, 293 nt
Filed under: uncultured bacterium
Lineage: Bacteria
Description: partial 16S ribosomal RNA
Rfam family: Bacterial small subunit ribosomal RNA
Source: RNAcentral